UUGGAUGGUUUCAGGCUUCUUC
Molecule: non-coding RNA, 22 nt
Filed under: Arabidopsis thaliana (thale cress)
Lineage: Eukaryota; Viridiplantae; Streptophyta; Magnoliopsida; Brassicales; Brassicaceae
Source: RNAcentral